ACCUGGCUGGCUCAGUCAGUAGAGCAUGUGACUCUUAAUCUCAGGGUCAUGAGUUCAAACCCCACACUGGGUG
RNAcentral lists this transfer RNA (73 nucleotides) under Ailuropoda melanoleuca (giant panda). It matches the Rfam family "tRNA". Rfam says of the family: Transfer RNA (tRNA) molecules are approximately 80 nucleotides in length. Lineage: Eukaryota; Metazoa; Chordata; Mammalia; Carnivora; Ursidae. The record is from Rfam by way of RNAcentral.